RNAcentral lists this ribosomal RNA (253 nucleotides) under uncultured bacterium. RNAcentral describes it as "partial 16S ribosomal RNA". It matches the Rfam family "Bacterial small subunit ribosomal RNA", at positions 524 to 776 of the family's 1533-position model. The record is from RNAcentral.
GACGGAGGAGGCAAGCGUUAUCCGGAAUUAUUGGGCGUAAAGCGUCCGUAGGUGGCCAUGCAAGUCUGCUGUCAAAGCAUGGAGCUUAACUCCAUAGAGGCAGUGGACACUGACUAGCUAGAGUUCGGUAGGGGUAGCGGGAAUUCCCAGUGUAGCGGUGAAAUGCGUAGAGAUUGGGAAGAACAUCGGUUGCGAAAGCGCGCUACUGGGCCGAAACUGACACUGAGGGACGAAAGCUAGGGGAGCGAAAGCG